This 1398-nucleotide long non-coding RNA is filed under the name Homo sapiens (human). Its description in RNAcentral is "HSALNT0394509". The record is from RNAcentral. Lineage: Eukaryota; Metazoa; Chordata; Mammalia; Primates; Hominidae.
GGAAAGGCUGUCUGCAAACAGGUGAUCUCAGAAGGGGGUUUGUGCCUCUCUAGGAAGGAAGCCUCAUUGUGGACAUCUGGGAGCAGGUACAUCCCAGCCUUCUUGCACAUAGAAACACUACACAGCACUUCAGCUGUAUGUUUGGGGGCCAUUUUAAACAGCAAAAUCAUCAACAGGAAGCAGAAAAUUGUAAAAAUUGUGGCACUAAAUAGACCAUGUAAAGGACACAUGUUUGCAAUAAGAAAGCUGAAACAAGAAGGGGGAGUGUCACCUUAUUUGAUCCAGCUAGAAACUCAGGUGCUGGUAUUCCAGCAACACUCAGGCGGCUGCUCCAGGAGGCUGCAGAGGGGUCCUUUUUAGCCGUCAACAAAACUGGCUAUGGUCACGCCCAUUGGGAAACUCAUUGCUGCCUUCAAGGACUCAGAAGCUGUAGGAAUAUUCAGGCACAGACACCAGACCCAGCUUCAUCUCUAACUUGUGGCAAAGGACAGUACAUCCUGGGAUGGGACCCUAUGCUCCCCUAUGCCAUUUAGACAGAGCCUGGGGAGAGUGACUUCCCAGGGUAUCCAUGUUGGAAUCUCUCAUUUGAUUCUUAUUCAAAUUUAGGUUCUGUCAAUAGAAGAUACUAAAGAAAGAAAGCCAGGAGAAGAAAAGGGACUUCUUUCUUCAAGGUCUAAGCUGUUCUAAUAGCAUUAUUCUGGGAAUGGCAUCUUCCACUCCUCCUAGUACAAAGAACCUGCUUCCUCAUACCCCGUCAAGGAACUGCAGCAUCCAGGUGAUGGCCACAGUGGCAGAACCUAGGAAGCCAAGAAGAAACCAGAGAAUGGAGACACAUGGCAGCAAUGGCAAGUCAUCAGACCCAGGAUUUCCCAAAGAACACUGGUCCAGGAAGAUGCUCUGUGAAAAAGUGUUCCCUGGUCGGAGAAAUUUGUGAAACACUUUGCAUAAUACUUAAAAGAAUGUAUGGCACAUCAAAGAUCUUAUAACAGUCUCCGCAGGAAGCAGCUGCAGUCAUUAGCCAUAGGACAGACUAAACACACAAUCUGCAUGGAAGGAGGCCUGGAUCAGCUUGGUCUUUCAGAUCUCUAAUCUCAGGCACAGGAAAGCACCAUCAACAGCACCCUUUGUAUAUAUACAUAAAGGUAACAUAUUUUAUCAUUUAAAGGGAUUUGAGAAAUUGAAGAGGCCCAACUCUUUUUCUGCCUUCUUUGGUUUGAGGCUUAGAUUGCUUAAGGGGCUUGCCCAGGAUCACAUAUCUUGUAAGAGACAGAGCAAGGAUUCAAAGCCAGUGCUGGCUUCUGUGUCUCCAUUCUUUCCAUUCUCCUCCAGUGGCUCUUUUGGGAAGCUGAGGGAGGAACAGCAGCAGAAUUGGGUGGCACCUGCCCAUGCCCAUCAUGC